UGCCUAUGAUAAAACAACUGGAGAAACCUGUUAAGAUAUAACAGUCCUAUUUUAAUAUCUAAGGUAGUUAGCCAUUGACUUUAAAAAUCUAUAGUUUUCAGUGUGUGUGUGUGUGUGUGUGUGUGUGUGUGUUUCCUGCCUCAUGGAAUCUGAGAAUUUCUGCCAGCAA
This 169-nucleotide small RNA is filed under the name Marmota monax (woodchuck). The record is from RNAcentral. Lineage: Eukaryota; Metazoa; Chordata; Mammalia; Rodentia; Sciuridae.